Non-coding RNA from Pseudonaja textilis, 151 nucleotides. The record is from RefSeq and is a predicted model, not a curated record. Lineage: Eukaryota; Metazoa; Chordata; Lepidosauria; Squamata; Elapidae.
GGAAUUAAUGUCCAGGUUUAUCAAGAGACAAAUAAGGUAGUCUGGUACUUCCAUCUCUUUAAGAACUUGCCACAAUUUGUUGUGAUCCACACAAUCAAAGGCUUUAGCAUCAUCAAUGAAGCAGAAGUAGGUGUUUUUCUGGAACUCCAUA